This is a transfer RNA of 72 nucleotides. It matches the Rfam family "tRNA". Rfam says of the family: Transfer RNA (tRNA) molecules are approximately 80 nucleotides in length. Their secondary structure includes four short double-helical elements and three loops (D, anti-codon, and T loops). Further hydrogen bonds mediate the characteristic L-shaped molecular structure. tRNAs have two regions of fundamental functional importance: the anti-codon, which is responsible for specific mRNA codon recognition, and the 3' end, to which the tRNAs corresponding amino acid is attached (by aminoacyl-tRNA synthetases). tRNAs cope with the degeneracy of the genetic code in two manners: having more than one tRNA (with a specific anti-codon) for a particular amino acid; and 'wobble' base-pairing, i.e. permitting non-standard base-pairing at the 3rd anti-codon position. The record is from Rfam.
GCCGGUGUAGCUUAGUGGUAAAGCGCUUGCUUCGUAAGCAAGAGACCAUGAGUUCAAUCCUCAUCACCGGCA